UACAGAGGUCCCAAGCGUUGUUCGGAUUCACUGGCGUAAAGGGUGCGUAGGCGGUCGGGUAAGUCUGAUGUGAAAUCUCACAGCUUAACUGUGAAACUGCAUUGGAUACUAUCCGGCUCGAGGAAUGGAGGGGAGACUGGAAUACUUGGUGUAGCAGUGAAAUGCGUAGAUAUCAAGUGGAACACCAGUGGCGAAGGCGAGUCUCUGGACAUUUCCUGACGCUGAGGCACGAAAGCCAGGGGAGCAAACGGG
RNAcentral lists this ribosomal RNA (252 nucleotides) under uncultured bacterium. RNAcentral describes it as "partial 16S ribosomal RNA". It matches the Rfam family "Bacterial small subunit ribosomal RNA", at positions 524 to 776 of the family's 1533-position model. The record is from RNAcentral.